Molecule: long non-coding RNA, 1128 nt
Filed under: Vulpes vulpes (red fox)
Lineage: Eukaryota; Metazoa; Chordata; Mammalia; Carnivora; Canidae
Description: lncRNA (ENSVVUG00000014806.1)
Source: RNAcentral
AUGGAAUACAGGGAGGGGUAAAUAAGACGGAAGUCACAGUGAGCUCACAGGCUGGUGGAAGAAACAGGAGGAUACAGGAAAUCACAACGAAGUACAACGUGUCCUCUGAUGUUAAGAGCACAGAACUGGAUCACAAAGCUUUCUGUCCUAGAGAAUGGUUGAAGGCUUUCAGAGGAAUUGGUAUGUGAGGUAAGGCUGAGCCAAUGAGAUCUUUCUUGGCCACUGGGGAUGUUAAGGUAGGAAGAAAAGUCAACAGAGUCCUGUUUUUCUAGGUAUCUGGUAGGACUUCAUCUUCCAUGUUUUAAGAGGAUUAUUUCUUUAGGGGCCAUUAUGUGUCUUGAGAUAGUUGCCUAUUUGUUGACAUCCCACUCUAUAUCAAACACUGUACUUGGCAAUUUUAUAUAGGUUAUUUUUAUUUCUUACAGCAACCAUGUGAACUUAAGACCAUUAUUCAAUUUGCAAAAAGGAACUGAGGGUCAGGAUACAUAAAUACUUCACCCCAAUGGAUACACCCCAAUGGAUACACAUAUUUCCUCUCCAGGGCCCAGAAAGCAUUCAGGAGUGGAGAACUUGCAAGCAAACAAGUGCUGCCUGCUGGAGCAGAGCUGAGCUUGGAUUCCUCUCGCUCUCAUGUCCGGGCAGCUGAUGGCAAGUGAGCCUCUCAUCUGCGGAGCUCAAAUGGGCACCUGCUUAUCUGCAGAUCCGUGUAUAAAACAACUUUUGUUUGAAUGUGACAUCUGCCUGCAAAGGAGCAAAUCCCCAGCACCACCAGUGCAUCGUGUCAGGCCAAAAUCCAGAGAGGCUCUAAUGGGUUUUUCUUCAAACACUGUGACUCGAGCUCCAGACCAUCCCCUUGCUUGCUCCAGGAAACAUUAUCAACCUAUGGCUCAGGGUUAAGGGUUGGGGUUGGGGUAUCAUUAGUGUUUUCAUCACUAGCUGAAAUGUACAGUCUGACAAUCACCAUGCCCACAGAUCAAAGGCAAGGGGAGGUGCUAUCUGCUGCCAGCUGUGCUGUGACUCUGAGAACAUUUCUGGUGAACUGACCCUAAGGUGAGUUGUGGUGGGAAACAGUCUCCAACGGAUGACUGGGUGUGGGCUCAUGUAGGAUAGGGUUCUAAGAGCGAAUUC